GGCUGUGGCUUAGUGGUAAAGCACUUACCUGGCACACAUGAGGCACUGGGUUCAAUUCUCAGCACCA
Molecule: transfer RNA, 67 nt
Filed under: Marmota monax (woodchuck)
Lineage: Eukaryota; Metazoa; Chordata; Mammalia; Rodentia; Sciuridae
Description: tRNA.Ala
Rfam family: tRNA
About the family: Transfer RNA (tRNA) molecules are approximately 80 nucleotides in length.
Source: RNAcentral